AGGGUUGUGGCUCAGAGGUAGAGCACUCGCCUGGCAUGCAUGAAGCACUGGGUUCGAUCCUCAGCACCACAU
This 72-nucleotide transfer RNA is filed under the name Urocitellus parryii (Arctic ground squirrel). Its description in RNAcentral is "Spermophilus parryii (Arctic ground squirrel) tRNA". It matches the Rfam family "tRNA". From Rfam's summary of the family: Transfer RNA (tRNA) molecules are approximately 80 nucleotides in length. Their secondary structure includes four short double-helical elements and three loops (D, anti-codon, and T loops). The record is from Rfam by way of RNAcentral. RNAcentral also lists the same sequence under 1 other name. Lineage: Eukaryota; Metazoa; Chordata; Mammalia; Rodentia; Sciuridae.